GCCGGGUUAGCUCAGUUGGUUAGAGCACGGUGCUAAUAACACCAAUCUCACAGGUUCACUCCCUGCUUACUGCA
RNAcentral lists this transfer RNA (74 nucleotides) under Pelecanus crispus (Dalmatian pelican). It matches the Rfam family "tRNA". Rfam says of the family: Transfer RNA (tRNA) molecules are approximately 80 nucleotides in length. Their secondary structure includes four short double-helical elements and three loops (D, anti-codon, and T loops). Lineage: Eukaryota; Metazoa; Chordata; Aves; Pelecaniformes; Pelecanidae. The record is from Rfam by way of RNAcentral.